Molecule: non-coding RNA, 27 nt
Submitted as: unclassified sequences
Source: Rfam
CUAUGAUUAAAUUCAUGGCGGAAGGAG